CAGCCGCCACGGUAAUACGGAGGGUGCAAGCGUUAAUCGGAAUUACUGGGCGUAAAGCGCGCGUAGGUGGUUUGUUAAGUUGGAUGUGAAAGCCCCGGGCUCAACCUGGGAACUGCAUCCAAAACUGGCAAGCUAGAGUACGGUAGAGGGUGGUGGAAUUUCCUGUGUAGCGGUGAAAUGCGUAGAUAUAGGAAGGAACACCAGUGGCGAAGGCGACCACCUGGACUGAUACUGACACUGAGGUGCGAAAGCGUGGGGAGCAAACAGGAUUAGAUACCCCGGUAGUCCCUGUCUCUUAUAC
This 301-nucleotide ribosomal RNA is filed under the name uncultured bacterium. RNAcentral's name for it is "partial 16S ribosomal RNA". It matches the Rfam family "Bacterial small subunit ribosomal RNA", at positions 509 to 807 of the family's 1533-position model. The record is from RNAcentral.